This 1221-nucleotide long non-coding RNA is filed under the name Gossypium barbadense (sea-island cotton). Its description in RNAcentral is "long non-coding RNA (GBAR_LNC012280)". Lineage: Eukaryota; Viridiplantae; Streptophyta; Magnoliopsida; Malvales; Malvaceae. The record is from RNAcentral.
UUUAUAAUAUUAUUAGUUAAUAAUAUAGUAGGUAGAAGGAAGAAAUUUAAGACUUUUAUGUUAAUAGAGUAUCAUAUUAAUUAAUAUUAUUUUUUAUUAUUAUCACAUAAUACUAAUAAAUUAUUAUAUUAAUAUGGAUUUAAUAGUAAAGUGUAAUCACAUCAAUUCAAUUUUUUUAUCAAAUUCAUGCUUGCACAUAAUAAUUAUAGAUAGAUAGACGGAGCAUAUAGGAAAUGCUAGUCCUUUUACGUCAUGUUUCCUUAAAAAGUAUCCCAUACAUAUUUAAAUAUUAAUUAAGUUGUUUUAAAUAUAUCAAUAUUGAAUAUGUUGCGUGGGCAGAUCCGUUUGAGAUAGGUGUUACAUUCUGAAAGGGGUAUCCACUAGCUUCUGCCAAAUGGGGUCAUGCGGGUCCGCCCAUCCUGGCGUUAUAUAGUAUUGGAUGUGAUACUGUGUAUUUCAUUUAUUUAUGUGGGGUGACUUUGAGGGACUACUAUUAGCCCUUAAGAAAUCUGAAAUUCUUUUCCUUCAGAAGGAAUUGAGGGUCGACCAAGUUCCUGCUGUACUGAUAAAAAAAAAAACAUUUUGUUGAAAAUAAAUGAAAUCUAAGUUUAUAUUUAAAAAAAAAAAAGAUUUGAGUAGUGGGGGUGGGUGAGAUUUCACUUACUAAACUCCAUUCAAUUUGAUUUUAUUAUUAAUAAUUUAAAUCUAUCUAAUUUAUUUAAAUUUAAAUUUAUUUGAAUCCAAAUUUAUUUGGACAUAUAAUCCACAAUAAUCAAAUUCAAAUUAGAAUAAAAAAUCAUUUGAAUUCAUCAUAAUCAGAUUCAAAAUAAUUUAAACCUUAAACUUUAAAUGACAAUUUAAAUUUAAAACUGACAUAAACCGAAAUUGCUUGAAAAUUUUGAAACAGGACUCAACCUGGUCCAAAUAGACCCAAACCCUAACUAAUUUGAUGGACUAAUGUGAAAAGAGUGAUAGAAAAAAGGGAAAGGGAAUUAGGGGAUAUGUAAGGGAAAAAAGGACGGGGUUGCUUAAGAAGAAAGAGAAAUGAGGUGGCGUGCAUGGUUUAGGGAGUAGGCUAAAGGGGAUUCACAUCGGAAAUGAGAGGGGGGUGGAAUCUAGUAGAUGGCCAAGGUGUGGGGGAACACCCAUCGUGCUUUAGGACCAAAGCUUCUUUCCCAUCCUCUAUCCCCUUUUCAUCUCUCUCUCUCUUUGAAAUUGAAA